RNAcentral lists this ribosomal RNA (254 nucleotides) under uncultured bacterium. RNAcentral's name for it is "partial 16S ribosomal RNA". It matches the Rfam family "Bacterial small subunit ribosomal RNA", at positions 524 to 776 of the family's 1533-position model. The record is from RNAcentral.
UACGUAGGGACCGAGCGUUUGUCCGGAUUCAUUGGGCGUAAAGAGCUCGUAGGCGGCCACUCAAGUCGAAUGUGAAACCUCGAGGCUUAACCUCGAGCCUGCAUUCGAUACUGGGCGGCUAGAGUCUGGUAGGGGGAUCUGGAAUUCCUGGUGUAGCGGUGGAAUGCGCAGAUAUCAGGAGGAACACCGGUGGCGAAGGCGGGAUCCUGGGCCAGUACUGACGCUGAGGAGCGAAAGCGUGGGGAGCAAACAGG